RNAcentral lists this long non-coding RNA (1069 nucleotides) under Jatropha curcas. RNAcentral's name for it is "long non-coding RNA (JCUR_LNC002054)". The record is from RNAcentral. Lineage: Eukaryota; Viridiplantae; Streptophyta; Magnoliopsida; Malpighiales; Euphorbiaceae.
AACGUUCCCCCGCAAUUGGAAGAAGACAUGACUGGUCUUUUGUCUUUUGCAGUCUGGCUUGUGAGAUUUCAUACUCCCAACUUUACCCCUAAAAGAAAUAAUAGUAAAGCCGCCAAAUUUUAGGCGUAAUUGGCGUUGGAUCUGCUCAAACACAAAUACAUAUUUUACACACGCGUCUCUCUAUAGUAUUUGUACUUGAGAAAAAACAUAUUUCUUUAUUAUGUUAUUUAAAACGGAAAUUCAAAACAUAACAUAUAAAAACUUGGUACUGCAAACAAAAAAUCCAAAAUGACAUAAAAAAAAAUACCAAGCCAAACAGUACCGAGUUAGUACUAUUCACAAUACAAAUAUAGAAAGAGUUACCGAGUUAGUACUAUUAAUCUUUUAAAAAAAAAAACAAAAAGAAAAUUAUAAGAUUCACAAAAUCGACAAAGCGCUCAACGGACGACAAGAUCAUCGCUUCCUUUUUUCCUAGUAACACGAAUGUAGCAAAAUACAGCUGCAAAAAUGGCAGUAACAAGACCGCCAAUGAUAACACCACCACCAGCCACUGAUUUAUCAGAAGAAUGAUGCUUUCCAAGCCGUCUAAUCUCCGGAGCUUCAGCUUCUUCCCAUUCAUGGCUUGAUGCGACAGGCUGAUCCGCAACGCUUGGUGAUUUUUUCUCGGAUUCAUCAGCCGUGGCUUGUACAAUCAAGAUUCCAGCAAGAAUCAGGCAAGAAAUUACCAAACGAAGCCUAGCCAUAUACACUGAAAAGGAAAAGACUAGAAAGGAAGAGCAAAGAUAUUCUAUAAGAAAGAGAAAAUAGUAGAAGUGGCUGACUAGUGAAUGUUGGCUAUGUCUAUAUAUAUGGGCGUGGGCGUGGGCGUGAACAGGAAUAGAGUGUGUAGCUUGAAAGUAAAGAGAAGUUUCAGCGUUAAAAACCUAAAGUAGAGCCGCGUGUAAUAAAUUAGUAUUAAGACUAAAGAGAGGAGUUAAGUGGGGCCAGGGUUUGGUUAUUGGGAUUUGGAAGGGAGAGAGAGAGAGAGAGAAACAGUAAUCUGUUGGGUAAGAAAAUGACAAGAGAAACA